AGGGCCUCGAGCAAAAGCACGCGCACAGGUAGCGCGGGAGCGUGCUUUGCGGGAGCCGAAGGGACGCCCCGGGGCAUCUGCGAGCGUGGGGCUGUCCGGUGACUCUCUUUUGAACCUCGUUCUGCGCGCCCUGCGCUCGCUUUCCCCCUCCAACCUGUCCCGGCUGUCCGGGGAUGGGCUGCCAGAGCGUUUCUCCGUGCCGCGUAGCGCCGCGACCGUCCCGCUGCCGGCCGCGCUCCGGGCUCUGCUGCUGCUGCUGGCUGCGCUCGGUGCGCGCUCCCUGGGUGUCACCUCCGAGCGAUCCCGGACCGAGAGAAAGCUCCUACGAGAGCAAAGUUGGGCGCUUCCCUCAGAGCGUCGCGAACCUCAGCGCAAGCCGAGGUGCUCCCCGAGCAGGGUAUUCCCUCCUGCCGAGCGGCCAGCGCUAUGGAAAGAACCGAGGGGAAGCGGGAGGAAUCUCCGCGCGCUUCCCCGAAGCCACACGGGCGCAUCCCGGUGGCAGCGCGGGGCUGAGCUCCUCAGCCCGGUGUGUUUGGAAGCGUAACGCGAUACAUCGCCUCCCUUGAUCUCAUUCUGCCUUCCUCCUUAGCCGUACCUCACUGUACUUAAGAGGACGGUUUUGCUACCAGCCCUCUCCCCCCAUCCCCACGUUUUCAUCUCUUCCUCCUGCUUGCUCUCCUCUCGACAGCUCCAUACCUUUCCAUUAUUUCCUCACACGCAUCACACCACUCGAUCUCUGGCCAUUCCUGGCACCGCUCUCUGCCUUUGGCCACCACCCAGGUGUCCACACAGAGUUGGCAUCCAUCCCAUCCCGUACUACUGCCAUGUCCCGGCCCCGGGUGGCCUCUGUCAUCCCACUGCCACCUCGGCCUGCCCUGACUUUCCACCAGCCAUUGCUCAUCUCUGGAGAUGGAGUCACCUCCAACCUGUCUGGUACCAGGACCUGCAUACCUGGCAUCGUGGUCACGCAUGCUCACACUAGAUUCCAUCACAUACGAAGUAUAAGCAGUACCUGUUGGACUUGGCUAGGGUUUUUGCUGUGGACUUCCCCAUCACCAGUUUGUGCUUCUCUCUUGCCAUGGGCAUGGCCAAAGACUCCACUGCUCACCUGUGCUGCAUACUGUUUAACGCUCUUUGCCCUGGCACAUCCUUUAGCCGCAUAACGACCCUGAUAUGCUUUGUUGUCGCCAGUAUUUCCACCCCAGCGGAUCACCUUUCAGCUUGGCAUUAUGGGGAGCCCUCCAAGAGAGGUGUGCGAAGGGACAGGCACUGCACAGCUGCACUGGUGCAUCUGUCAGCCAACCAGCCGGUCAACCAUUCAGGCACCUCAAUGCUGCACUCGGGAGUUCCUGUCCUCCAAAAUAUACCUCUUCUUUCCCAAAAUUCUGAUACCUCGGCCUGACAAGCACUUCAUAUAUGAAACCUUAACGCCACAGCCUGCUGUUAGGAAUGUGCACGCUGCACCCAGUGCUGGAGCGAAACCAGAAGGGUAGAGCUCAGGUGUUUUGGAACCAUCCCACAGGCAGCCCCUGGCGGCCUUCCAGCAUGCUCUUCCUUUAAGCGUGCUCACUGUGCCUCUGGAGAAGACUGCUGAUCCAUCAGUUAAUCGUAUUGACUUCCUAACAUUCCCUCAAGUUCUACCUCUGGUCACCAGAGAGAGAAGAUCAGUGCCAGGAGAGCCUAGACACUCUAGCAACAGAUGAGAUCUCCACUGUCCUCAGCAACAUAAAAAGAGAAAAUGGUCAGCUCUUGCCCCAGAGAAGAUUACAUUUGGUGGAGCGAUAGGAAAUAUUUUCUUGGAAAAUGCUGAAUUGUUUCACGGCAGUCUAUCAAGUCCUGGUUUCAGAUAUUCUAUCCACCACCUAUUUCAUGACUGUUAUUUAGGCCUUGAUCCUCAGCUGGCAUAAAUCAAGCAUUGGGCUAUGUAAGUCAGAAGAGCCCUGCUGAUUUAUGUUUGCUGUGUCACCUCAGUGAAGCUGAUGAAGUUAUGCCAGCUGACAUCAGCUCAGGAUCUGGCCCCUAGCUGCUGUCAGUGCCAUUUAGUACCACCCUUCUUUUUCUGCUGCUUCCUUAGCACUGUGAGAUUCUUCUGGCUGACUGCAGGACCCAACAGAGACAGCUCCGCUUCCUGUACCCAGCCUCCUCUCCAGCUCAUUAACUCCAGUAGGAACAGGGGUGUGGGAGGGGAGAAGAUCCGGC
Molecule: long non-coding RNA, 2199 nt
Filed under: Gallus gallus (chicken)
Lineage: Eukaryota; Metazoa; Chordata; Aves; Galliformes; Phasianidae
Description: lncRNA (ENSGALG00010001013.1)
Source: RNAcentral